Hylaeus volcanicus is the source of this 8125-nucleotide long non-coding RNA. RefSeq lists it as uncharacterized. The record is from RefSeq and is a predicted model, not a curated record. The transcript is spliced from 3 exons. NCBI's taxonomy places the organism in Eukaryota, Metazoa, Arthropoda, Insecta, Hymenoptera, Colletidae.
UCGUGGUUUAUACAUUCCUGCGCGAUGUCAUAAUCUGGCUCGCGUGCGAGUUUCUACGACUCGUAGGAAAAUGCUUCGAUUUGGGUUUAAUAAACUUUCUUUACUUCUACUUUGUUUUCGUGACCGUGGAAGAAUGUUCACAAGGUGCUUCGUAGAACGUCGACGGGAGGAUUUAUUCGUGUAAUUACUUUGAUAAUCGAAAGCCGAAACACGAUUUUUUGUGAUCUUCUUGGAUUUUUUUUGCUUAAAUCCUUUUGUACAGGAUACAAUAAUAGUAUUUGAAAAUAUGAAUCGGAGUUCAUAAUUGUGUGAAAUCUAUUUUUAUGUCGUUUGACACCGGAUUAUGAAUGAAUGUUAUAAAAACGAGUGUUCAUGUGAAAUUUUUGUAUUCCACAAGUGAAAGGGAAAUAAGAAUAGCCUCAAUUUUGGGCAGUUAGCGAUAAAAAUUUCGAAACGCACCGAUUGGUUCCCAAUUGCAUCUCGGUCGCGAGCGUCUGUCGGAGGGAGUCGCACAAUUUAGCGUCCAUUUCGAGCAUGUAUUUCCGCGUUCUUCCGCCCGACAACAAAGAGGCACGUACUUUCCGUUACGGUCAUAAACGAAGCACAAUGAGAAGUUAACUAGCCCACAGAAAAUAAAUUCUGGUUCCUUCCCGUUGCAACGCGUCGCUUGGCGCAGAUUAUGUUUUUUCCGCGACAAGAUAAAUCGCCUCCCACCGAGCGUGCAGUCGAUGUCACAAAACAAUUGUAGGAUCUUUUGCUUCGCUAUCAGAUUUACAAAAUUCCGUGUGAACAAAAUUAUUUUAAUUUGGACACUUGCGCUUCGAGUUCGAGCCACCUUCGAUACAACGAAACAAAAGAAAAUAUUCCAAGUAUCUCCAAGUUGAAUUCGAAACGGCUCGAAAUUUUCAAAGAGGAGGGAUUCAUCUCGAGAUGCGUGAACGGAGAAACUUCUGAUUUAUUUGAAGAUGGUAAGAGAUUGUUGCCCGGUGGGAGAGAUAAACUGCGAUAAGAUACUCGGUAUCGUUUAUCAAACGAAACAUGGUCGUGUCCCCUGUCGGAAUCUUACCUUUGUCAUGAGUCUUGCUACGUGCCACGGAAAGCUUUUAUUCUCGUGCUGUUAUAUACCUGGAAUAUACCAUGGUGUAUAUUUUGCUGUACUUUCAUGUGAGAAUGUACGAAGCAAGUAAUGAUAUGUUGUCAAUCUUCGGUUUGGACUACGUAUAGUUUUGACACUUGACCCAAUCAGUUAGACACUUCGUCUGAGAUUUGAUUUGAUUAAAAUCCACUUCGGUCAUUAGGAGAGAGUGAUUUGCCGUUAUGGAAAUUAUGACGCUGUGACCGCAGCUAAUGGCUUGAAUAUUACAUCCUAAUGAAAUAUUAAUGAUACUCUGGCGGAUGACUAGUGGUGUACUUUGAUACAAGACCCAAAUACAUUAAUAACGACUAAUUUCAACGUCUCGAUUCGUCUGUUUCAAUAAAAGCAACAAAUACGCAACUAAAUACAUAUGCAACGUAAACGCCAUGCUCUACCUAGUAGAGUAAUAACUCGAAUAUUCUAUAAAAUGAUAUCACAAGAUUGAAAAAAUUCAUAGAAAAUUUGUAUACCUAACAAAAUUACUUAUGCCAUUUUAGGAGCCAUUCCUCCAAUCGUAUCCUUAUGACACAGUUAUUUUAAUUAUAGUCGAACGAAAAAUUAGAAACGCCCCACUUCCCAACGCGUGCCACAAUAACGGGUGUUCAAACGGGUUCACGAAACCCAAACGAAAAAAUCGUCGAUUGCGGCUGUUCUUGUUUUCGUCUGCUGUCACAUCGAAUAGGCGUAUGUCAACGUAUGAGUAUGUCAAGCUCGACUAUCCCUUUGGGAACGCAUGCCUGUGCCGUAACGUGUACCGUAGUCCACCGGAUGUCAUGAUGCGGUUUGCCUUAUUGCAGCCGCUAUAUUAACGUUCAUGCGGACGUUGCUGUCGAAUCGGACGAGUGACGUUAAUCGAGCCAAAUUAUACACGCUGGCACACCAGAGGCUAGAGAAUUCAUCUUGUUGACUAGCCUCGAUUUGAGUGCCCAUACAAGCUGUAUCCUAACACGUGGUGCCCACUUCAGCAGAUCGAGGACAUGAAAACAAUGAAAAAAGUUUAUACACGCACACGUGCUCCAUUUCGACCUUGUUCGCGAGUUAUAGCUAUUUUUGUAGCCUAUAAACUUCUAACCCUAAACUGAGCUACUACUGUACUGUUGACGUAUGCUACCGCGAAGCCCACUGGGUAGCUUGCAAACUGUUACUAAAGAAUGUACACAUUUAUCCUAUUCCAAAACAACCCACCAUUAUCGUACCAAGUAUAACGCUACUAGUUCGCGCGCUCGCCGUACGCUGAACCCCUACCAAGCUCUAAUCUAGACACUCAGUUCACGCGUGUAUCCACCUACACUUGAUAUACCUGUAUAUAUCUGUAUAUCGUCUGCACGCUUCGAAGAUCGAUAACAAACGUAAGCAUCCGUUGAGACGCAAACUUCUUCGGGGGCAACGAUUCGGGUAAGCAAAGAGCUGAAGAGAUAAAGACUGACCCACCCGCAUUAUCGAAAAUUCACAACCUACGACAAGUAUGGUACUCCAGGAGUUCCGAUAGCGCACGGAGGAACCGUGGACGCAUGUUUUAUCUGUUGAAACGAGAAGCCACGUAACUCACGGCGUCGAUAAGGCUGGCUCGUUUGUUGAUUUAGCGCGACACGCGGUUAUCUAAAGAUAUCGCGCUGUUAAUGUACAAACUGGUGGAUUUGUGGCGAGGAGGAAUUAUUUGCUAGAGGCACCGUGAUCGCGAGACUCGAGUUUGCAAUGAUUGGCGACCGUGAAGAGAUGACUUUGCAAGUGCAGAGAAUUAAGUCCUUGCAAUUUGAGAUAUUUUUAUGUGAACGAUACUUUUCUCCAAAGAAAAGUAUUCAUCAAAAUGAGAGAGUGGGUGACACUUGAAGGAUGUUCCUCGUCGUCCCGUUGCAUAUUGAUGCAGCAAUGUCGCGUUUUACGCCGCGGUGGACGCCGUUGUGCAACGCGACAACGUGGACGCGCGGAUGAAAAUAAUUAAGCGGCUAAUAAUAUAAAAGGACGCGUCGUUGAAUCUCACCUUGCUCCACUUUCCUCUCAUGCGUCGUUCGGAAAGUAACGCGUGCAAUUAGAUUACAACAUUCCCGUAGCAUACAGGAGCGUCGAGUACCUAAAUUACACGAGUGGCAAAUCUGCACAAUCGCGAAGGAAGUCCUGUUUUUCUGUGUGUACUUUGAAUCUUUCUAUGUAGAAACGUUCACUGAUUCCAUUCCUGUUCCAUUUAUGAAUCGUUAAAAUAGAACUUCACUUGAAAAAAAAGAAUGGAAAUUCAAUAAAGGAAGACACGAGGAAUGCUCAACAGAGACCAAAGGUACCCUCCCUUUUUUAAGCUUGGAACAUAUGAGAACAAUGACCCUACUCAGACGACAGGGUUCAAGAAACAGGCCAUGCUACCUAAGUAAGCAGUCGAGAAGCUGAAAGGUGUUUGAACAUCGGGCAAACUGCUUCUUUUUACGGUCCAGUGGGAAUAUUACCUCCCUAUGUCUUUCUCUCCUUCACUGAUAAUUGGAUCCUUUCCUAAAUCACUUCGCCACACUCGUUUACCUAUGGUUACCAAAACUUAGAGUACUUUCUUUUGCUAACAUGGAAUAAUUGUUAUCCGUUUAUCGAGAAAAUUAUUAUCCUUUUACCAACAUCUCAUUAUCUAAUUAAGUUCAACUAGUCUAAACGCCAAUUCAUUUUGUCACCACUCAGAAAUUUAAAAUAGCUGCCACAUGCAAGAGCUAAUGAAUAUUGUAAUUACCUUCCUACGUUAUCGAGACGAGGACAAGUAUGAUAUUAAUGGACGUGCAUGCAGCCAAAUGCAUCUUACUGCUUGGACGAAUUAAAUGAUUCGUGAUAUUUCCUUAGUUAUAACGAUCGAACGAAUAUCCUGAAUGAAAGUGAAUACAAUAUUUACAAUAUGUCAGCCGUUAAAGCCUAAAGAUUUUUGAUAUUUACAGAGUAUGUACAAUGACAGUAUGCGAACGAAGUAUGUAAUUCAUAAUCUGAAGCGCUUGCAAGUAUAAAUUUAGUUACUUAUAUAUACAAUUUAAUUGGUAACUUACCGUGAAGCGUUAAAAGUGCAUUAACAAUCGUGACAAGUUCACGACCGACCGUGUUAGUCCGUUUUUCAUACAGUAUUAUCUUACGUUCAAGGAAAGAGAAAUCAAGGAAACAUGAUCGCACGCAAUCACGCUGGUAUUCGUUUCACUCGCAUGCAGUUUCACUUAAAAUAUACUCAAAUAUAUAUAUAUUGUCACAGCAAUAAACGCAAAAAUUUACUGUGGAUUUCUUGCACGCCUUGCGUUUCGAUAGCGAAAAUAUCGUUCCUGGUUUUUGGGAUAAUCAACUUGCGUUGAAAAUUUAAAAAACGACUGAAAUAAUAAUCUGGAGAUAAAGAUAUAUUUGAAGUGAUAAUAAUCAUAAAAGCUUAAACAUAGGAGUUUUUUAAAAUAAAGUUGUAUAUAAUUUUCUUUUUGAUUAGUGGUAAUAGUGCAAUAGUAACUACUUACACUGUAAAAAUAAUUAUAAAAUAUGUUGCAGUAAUUAAACAAAUAUUUUAUAACAAUAAUAGAAGACCAAGGUUAUGGAUAUCAAGCUUGUCAGGACUAUUAUCAUAACAAAUAUACAAAAAUGUGAUAAAAUAAGAAACUUAACUGUGACCCGUUAUUCGCUCACUUUUCCUUCUCACUUAUGAUUCAAGAACAAAGGAAGAACAUUUUGGUUUAUAAGCAAAUACGCGGCGGGCAGCAUUACUUCGCGAGGCAAUUUAAUUGUACAUUUCAAUCAACAUGAAUCCCGAUUAACGUCAAGCACGAGAGAUCCGCGUAAGAAACGACAACAACGAACCGGAAAAGCAAGCUCAUUAACGACGGACGACGAAAAGAACGCUGGACAGGGACCAAUGAAAUAAUCACGAAAGCUCCAAGGACGUACGAAAGCGACAAAAUAAUUCAAGACAUCGCAUACACAGCAGCAUAACGUUUAUUAGCACACCAACGAUAUAUAUGUAUAAAUAUAACGCACUAUAAUCGCUUAAAUUUACCGUCUAUACUGUACCUAAUUUUAAUAUACUCUUACACAUGAUUACUCGCCGAGCGAUUACAAUAACUAGACGAAGCGUAUAACGUAAAAUAAAAUAUAAAAAUCAAUCACAAAAUAAACUAUGUGUAUACCAGGGAAGGAAGUUUGAUGUAACAAAUCAAAAAAACACUUAAUCUACGAGUCUCGCUAUUCGUCGAGCGCCUCUGGCUGUCGCGGAUAGGUUCGUUUAAAUUGUAAUAUUACGAUGCAAAAAUACAAAGGGAGAUUUUGAUUGUAACCGAGCUCUACGAAAUUAUGGAUUUAUUAUUGGAUAACGUGUACAAGUAGCAUGCGAGAAGAUUGCUCUUGAGGAUGAGUAUGCGCCUCAUUUUCAGAAGCAAACCCUUCGCGAGCGACUACUGUAUUUUGCUGAAAAUGGCAGACUGAUACUAGACACAGUUUGAAAAAUAAAAAUGUCGAGAAUAAUUUGUAACAUCCAGGAGAAACCUAUCCACGAUUUCCUGAUAAACGCAACGUUCUAAAUCACCCACCGCACCCGUUACAAUACCCACUUGUCGAUGAAUACUUUCACUUAUUGUUAGGUAUAACUUUCGUUAAGAUCUACAACGACGAUAUCUGAUACGACCUAAAAGAAUCGAAGUCCGAUAACGUGGAACCUCUUUGAAUACUUGGUGUGAUGUCUUAUAGCUACUGCUGGGGAAAGGAGAGAUUGCACAUUUUUUCACGAGGAAAAAUUCUUUCCUCUACUUUAUCGAAUAUACGCGUUACAACGAACGUGUAAGUGAAAAAGGAAGCGAAUACUACGGUGUGGUAAGAGUGUCUAUGAUUUCGUGUAACGAUUGUGCGUUUACUGUGGUUAAAAAAGUAGUAUCUUUUACGAUACGUCGGCACCGGCUUAAAAAAAAACAGGUUGUGCGUAUAUUUACAGAAACAGAGUAACCGACGUAAUGUAUGUGGCAAAUGAUAAGUGUAUAUGAAACCCAGAGUAAACUCUAACAGGGAAAUAAUUGGCAAAAUGAUCGAUACAGUAAUCAUCGUUAGUUUCUAUACAGAUAUCAUGUACAGUGUAUACAUAUACGCACGACGACUCGUAUAUAUAGGGUGCUAAUGAAAGAAAUGAUUCAAGAAUCCGAGGACGCGUAGUGACGAUUAAAAUUACCGAAUUAUAAUUUUAUCGUAAUUCGAUGUUAUUGAAAAUUGAUAUAGAUUGGUAGCGUAGCAAUACGUUUCUUUUGUUGACGAACUGUUACGUCUCGUAAACAAUUAACGGUGUGAGCUGUACUAUGUGCAUUACUUAACAUUAGCAUCCGAUUGUCAACGUUGGCACUAGCUGUUUCUAGAUUGUCAUAGUUGGAGCUAAUCGACGUACCACUACGCCUUUUCGAAGUAUCAGCUUUUAAAUUUAUGUAAAGUGGAUUAUAUACUGUUCACGUAGUACUACAUUCUCAGCUUGUAAACGUUUAGAUUGGUUCACAAACUGCUACGUCUUAUUCAAAACUACACUCGAGAGUCUCUAAUACAGUUCCAUCUGUUUCUUUCACAACUUCUUUCAGGUUGCAAACGUUAAAAGGAUAUGACGUAAGAGUGUCCUUGGUUACGCGACAAGUUAUCCUUUCUUCUCGAUAAUAUCCAAGCUAUAACCAACAUAUACUGAUAAAUAACACUGGCUGCCCGAGAAUGUCGUUCUUGAAUCCUCUAUAAGAAGAUCUCCUUCUGCUCUGUCAAAGCUGAUUCAUGGCUCUCCGAUCACUCAUUUAAACACGCGUCAAAACUCUUGAAUCCUCUUUCAAAGACCCAGCAUAUACACGUAUAUAUACAUCACAGUUAACGAACCAAUGUAGUCGAUAACCUAAGGAACUAUUCGAUCUUUAAUCGUAGGUAGCUUACACAGAAAGGUGUACGAGUCUACUCUGUCGAUCGUGUAUUUCCUUUCCGACGAGCGUUUCGCCGGAAACGAGGGCAGCUUCCGGAAUUAUCGUGAAAACACUUCGCUCUGGCAACGAGAAACUGGCGCUGAAGGUGAGCAGAGCACCUCGAGGCACGACAGUCACAGUACUGCCUCGUUUAUUGAAAUCAACUGGCCACCGUUGGAUUAUAAAGCGAUUUAGUAACGUGUAGUCGCCACAAUAUGCGUGCAGGACCGUUUUGAACUGCGGUAAGCGGGUUUUCAGUUUCCCAGUUGCUAGCUGCUCGAGACGACAAGUGCUCGAUACAAAGAAACUUAAACAGAGGUUGAAAGAGGAGGAGAUGUUUUCAUUUCAAGUAUCCCUAUCGCAAAUUUAUUCAAAAAGCGAGGCAGUGCUGUUAUUCUCUCCGCAGAUAGGAUUCCGCUUGCGCUGCACGUCUACCGUCGCGUGUUAGCAAAGACUGAAGACUUUAUUAGCGUAUCGCGGCUAUAUUCUUCGCUCGACGCAUUCGUCCAGUCGGGGAAAUUAAAGGAAUGCCACGUCCCGCCAAAAUACUGGACUUCUAGACUUCUGGCGCCGGCCAGAAAACGCGAAUCUAGACGCCCAGGUCUAGCAGUCCCACUGGAUCACUUUUCUCCAAGACCCUGACAUUAAAACACGUCCGACUGCGGUCAAGUUGAACAUCCAUGACGCACGGAACGACGGAUACAGUAUUCUAGCAAAUCGUACAACCAAGGAGAACACAACGCAACUUGAAUACAAUAAAACAAUCAGCACAAAACAAUAACCGCGAGAAAAGUUGUCAUGACGGGAAAGAAACCCUCGCAGUUCGACCAAUCGAAAAGAAAAUUCCCUCAAAAGACAGUCCUCUCGUGAGCAGUUUUUUUUUUUUUUUUUACUCGACGUGAAAUGACAUAAACGCAAACGAUUACAUUCUCGUGAAUUCUUCGUUUGGAAUUUUCUGUACCGGCUGUUUACUCUUCACCCGUGGGAGUAUGAUCUCCCACUGGCGAUUGUCGUCAGGGAAACGGUCAAAAACAAGAAAAAACAAAGACGUAACACAACGAUUAUGCAUUUACACGUGGGCAGAAAGAAG